Molecule: ribosomal RNA, 396 nt
Filed under: uncultured bacterium
Lineage: Bacteria
Description: partial 16S ribosomal RNA
Rfam family: Bacterial small subunit ribosomal RNA
Source: RNAcentral
AUACGUAGGGGGCGAGCGUUGUCCGGAAUGAUUGGGCGUAAAGGGCGCGUAGGCGGCGCGGUAAGUCUGGAGUGAAAGUCCUGCUUUCAAGGUGGGAAUUGCUUUGGAUACUGCCGCGCUUGAGUGCAGGAGAGGUUAUCGGAAUUCCCGGUGUAGCGGUGAAAUGCGUAGAGAUCGGGAGGAACACCAGUGGCGAAGGCGGGUAACUGGACUGCAACUGACGCUGAGGCGCGAAAGUGUGGGGAGCAAACAGGAUUAGAUACCCUGGUAGUCCACACUGUAAACGAUGAAUGCUAGGUGUAAGAGGUAUCGACCCCUUUUGUGCCGGAGUCAACACAAUAAGCAUUCCGCCUGGGGAGUACGGCCGCAAGGUUGAAACUUAAAGGAAUUGACGGG